GCCGACGUGGCCGAACAGUGAGGCGGCGGUUUUGUAAACCGCAUUAUGCUGGUGCGAAUCCAGUCGUCGGCU
This 72-nucleotide transfer RNA is filed under the name Planctomycetota bacterium. RNAcentral's name for it is "tRNA-Thr". It matches the Rfam family "tRNA". From Rfam's summary of the family: Transfer RNA (tRNA) molecules are approximately 80 nucleotides in length. Lineage: Bacteria; Pseudomonadati; Planctomycetota. The record is from RNAcentral.